UACGGAGGAUGCGAGCGUUAUUCGGAUUUAUUGGGUUUAAAGGGUGCGUAGGCGGUCCGUUAAGUCAGCGGUAAAAUUGCGGGGCUCAACCCCGUCGAGCCGUUGAAACUGGCAGACUUGGGUUGGCGAGAAGUACGCGGAAUGCGCGGUGUAGCGGUGAAAUGCAUAGAUAUCGCGCAGAACUCCGAUUGCGAAGGCAGCGUACCGGCGCCAGACUGACGCUGAGGCACGAAAGCGUGGGGAUCGAACAGG
RNAcentral lists this ribosomal RNA (252 nucleotides) under uncultured bacterium. RNAcentral describes it as "partial 16S ribosomal RNA". It matches the Rfam family "Bacterial small subunit ribosomal RNA", at positions 524 to 776 of the family's 1533-position model. The record is from RNAcentral.